This 140-nucleotide small nucleolar RNA is filed under the name Caenorhabditis brenneri. Its description in RNAcentral is "snoRNA CBN33515". It matches the Rfam family "Caenorhabditis snoRNA ceN38". Lineage: Eukaryota; Metazoa; Nematoda; Chromadorea; Rhabditida; Rhabditidae. The record is from Rfam by way of RNAcentral.
ACGCGUCAUUUUCAUCCAAUUGUCAAUGUGAUUUAACAAUGUUGGCGAUUCAGCGUAUUUCUAGACGCAAUAUAGGUAACUUCUCCAUUGACGUCUAGUCAGAUUAAACUGACUUGGAUACAAUUAGGGAGUUUACACUU